Molecule: ribosomal RNA, 521 nt
Filed under: Flavobacteriaceae bacterium
Lineage: Bacteria; Pseudomonadati; Bacteroidota; Flavobacteriia; Flavobacteriales; Flavobacteriaceae
Description: bacterial SSU rRNA
Rfam family: Bacterial small subunit ribosomal RNA
Source: RNAcentral
ACAAUGAAGAGUUUGAUCCUGGCUCAGGAUGAACGCUAGCGGCAGGCCUAACACAUGCAAGUCGAGGGGUAACAGGGAAAAGCUUGCUUUUCCGCUGACGACCGGCGCACGGGUGCGUAACGCGUAUGCAACCUACCUUUUACAGGAGUAUAGCCCAGAGAAAUUUGGAUUAAUCCUCCAUAAUAUCUUUUUCUUGCAUAGGAAAAAGAUUAAAGCUUCGGUGGUAAAAGAUGGGCAUGCGUUUUAUUAGCUAGUAGGUGAGGUAACGGCUCACCUAGGCCACGAUAAAUAGGGGCCCUGAGAGGGGGAUCCCCCACACUGGUACUGAGACACGGACCAGACUCCUACGGGAGGCAGCAGUGAGGAAUAUUGGACAAUGGGCGAAAGCCUGAUCCAGCAAUGUUACGUGAGUGAUGAAAGCUAUUUUGGUUGUAAAGCUCUUUCAAUGAGGAGGAUAAUGACGUUACUCAUAAAAGAAGUCCCGGCUAACUCCGUGCCAGCAGCCGCGGUAAUACGGGGGG